AGCUGUCGCCGGCGGCCGGCCGGCGGUCAGCCUUCACACAGGCCCGGCUGCGGAGCGCGGUCGCCCAGGUUUACGGCGGCAGAGGGCCGAGGCUCCCGGAGAGGACCGCGAUGAGUCCGCUUCAGGUCGGGGCUGAGUGUGGGCGCGCGGUUCCCGGCGGCGUGUGACCCAGUCUUCGCCGGCCGCUGCCCUCUGCGUGUUACGAGACAGCCCUUGACGGUGAAAACAGCAGCGGCCUGCAGCAGCUGGCCUACCACACUGUGAAUCGUCGCUAUCGGGAGUUCUUGAAUCUGCAGACCCGUCUGGAGGAGAAACCAGAUCUACGAAAGUUCAUCAAAAGUCAGGAGUUUCCCCAACCCCUACUGCCCGCUUGCUUCCCACAUCGAGCCACCCUGAUUGGCCUGUUGGUUUAUGGGAGGGAUCGGGGAGGAGAAUGCCGUUUCAAGGUUCUCUGCUCCCUGGAUUUGCUUCAGGAGUUUUGAAGUUUAGUGCUGGACAGCAGCAAUCACAUUCUUUCAGAGAUGUGAAGGGUCCUAAAAAGCUCUUUCCAGAUCUUCCAUUUGGAAACAUGGACAGUGACAGAG
RNAcentral lists this small RNA (584 nucleotides) under Pan troglodytes (chimpanzee). RNAcentral's name for it is "retained intron". The record is from RNAcentral. Lineage: Eukaryota; Metazoa; Chordata; Mammalia; Primates; Hominidae.